RNAcentral lists this ribosomal RNA (381 nucleotides) under uncultured bacterium. Its description in RNAcentral is "bacterial SSU rRNA". It matches the Rfam family "Bacterial small subunit ribosomal RNA", at positions 335 to 704 of the family's 1533-position model. The record is from RNAcentral.
ACUCCUACGGGAGGCAGCAGUGGGGAAUAUUGCACAAUGGGGGAAACCCUGAUGCAGCCAUGCCGCGUGUGUGAAGAAGGCCUUCGGGUUGUAAAGCACUUUCAGUAGGGAGGAAGGUAGUGUAGUUAACACCUGCAUUAUUUGUACGUUACCUACAGAAGAAGCACCGGCUAACUCCGUGCCAGCAGCCGCGGUAAGUACGGAGGGUGCGAGCGUUAAUCGGAAUUACGUGGGCGUAAAGCGCAUGCAGGCGGCCUGUUAAGUCAGAUGUGAAAGCCCGGGGUCGUUAACCUCGGAAUUGCAUUUGAAACUGGCAGGCUAGAGUCUUGUAGAGGGGUUAGAAUUUCAGGUGUAGCGGUGAAAUGCGUAGAGAUCUGAAGG